Phyllopteryx taeniolatus (common seadragon) is the source of this 2442-nucleotide long non-coding RNA. RefSeq lists it as uncharacterized. The transcript has 2 exons. NCBI's taxonomy places the organism in Eukaryota, Metazoa, Chordata, Actinopteri, Syngnathiformes, Syngnathidae. The record is from RefSeq and is a predicted model, not a curated record.
ACAGGAUUAUAACUGUUUCACAGGCUUUGUUUAAAUUUGUAGCUCAAAAUACAUUAAUGAGAUUCUUAGGGAUAACAAAGAGAGAUUAAGGGACAUGGGGGCUGAAUCAAUCAACACUUAUAUUAAGAUAUAACUUUUCAAGGUCAGAGUGCAAAGAUUUAAAAAAAUUCUUGAUACCUCUUGAACCCAUUUGCAAACCACAACUGUCUUUUUGGAGUGAUUAGUUGUCCAGUUAUAGAGCAGUUUAUUCACUAGCUAUAACUCAGAAUGUGUCAUCUGCGUUUUGAAUCUAGCGUCUCCCCAUCUUCGGCAAUCGUCGGCUGUUUUCGACUGUGAUGUAACAAAUGGCACACCCUCCGUUCAUUUGGUGUUACCGUGCGAGCACGCACGCACACACACACACACACGUCGCUGUUCGGGUUAUUGCUACGUAUUUUGCUAUUUCACAAUGUUUCAUAGUGUGACAGCUGGUUUAAUGAGUGGUGAUAAGAGCUGCUUGAGCUUUCCAAGCAAUAAAAUAGCAAUAUAAGACCAGUGGAUCUUCUAGGCUCAAUCGGUGCGGGCUGGGGGUAAGCUGCAUAUCUUGUGGCUACCUAGCAAAUACAUGUAACUUUCGAACUGGCAUAUUUUCGGAAACAUUUAGCAGAAUGUAUUGGAGACCCGGGCAUAGUUCGAGCCAGGCUGAAACCAGAUGAGGUGACGAUUUUCCCUUCGACAAUCGCAUUGUCAACCCGGACACUGGUUGCCAUGGUAACGGGAAAAACAGCACAUAGAGGAUGCAGGUUUCAAGAUGCCGACCAAAAAAGUUUGAGAAUCCGCUGGUCCUGUAUGCCAAGAUAAGAGAUCAAGGAACCAGGUGCUCCUUUGAAAUGCAUACAAGGCCCUCUGGGACAAUGGAUGUAACACCAGCGACACCCACUGGCGGGUGGAGGGUUACUGCCAUCGGCGGAAGCACGAGGGACAAGCUUCACCAAAUUUGAAUGUUGGGUGACAUUUUAAGAACUUAGCAUGAAUGCUCCCAGUGUAUAUCACACCAAAGUCACUAGUGAUAGUAUUUCUUCGAAUUUGAAUGUCUGAUGUCAAAUCUGUUUGUCAACUGAACCGGAUGAGAUGUUUCACCCCACACAACACAAAUGCCACAUUGCAAAUAUUACAGUGUUCUCAACAACCACAUGAAAUUGAAACACUCAUUACAUGGAUUGAAUAGGGCGUGUGCGUGACAAUGCAAAGCUGGAAACCGGUUUCCUUAUCUUAGAUCCAAUAAUUAAUCUUUUAUUCCCACUGGUUUAAAACCACAAAUAAUCCUAGGAUGAAAAAGUAGUACUAAGAGGCGCGGUCUAUCUCCCUUUUGGUACCCGGGGUGGCCACUCCCCCUCUCUGCUGGGCAUAAAAGGCCUGAGCCCCCUUGUGCGAGACUCUCGCUCGCUCGUUCACCUUGCCGAAGAACUGGCGUAUCACCAGCGAACCCCACCACGAGGCGGGGAGAUGCACUCAAUGGAACGCGGAGGGCAGAAGCCCUCUGCCGCGCCCCGAAACCACGCUUUGGUGCGUAUGAGGUAGCUUUGACAGACCCGUUCGGGAGAAAGUGCGACGCAAGUUUGCUCCGAGCGCCUGGCGAACAGCGCCACCCAAGGGCUCUUCUUUUGCUUUUUCCUUUUUCCCCACCUCCUUAUUCCAUCAAAUCCACCUGUUCCUUGACUGGACUGGCCAAGCAUCCGGGCGAUCGACGAGCCUGCCUAAAUUGUGUCACACGCAAUGUAAAUCGAACAUGCGGUCUCCCAACGUACAGAUUGGUACAUAUAUAUUUGCCAAGUAUGUCAAAAACAUUUGUCUCCGGUAGUUGGAGCCGCAACAGACAGUCAAUUGACAGGGAAUACUUUUGACAGGGAAUAUAAAGACAGGGAAUAUAAAGACAUAAAAAGCACAGUCACUGAGCAAUAAAAGGUUACCAGUAAUGAUUUUUUUUUAUUAUUUGACAAUUGUGCAAAAAGAUGCAGUCUUCUAGCAAUUAGAGCUGUUUGAAAUGACUAAUAUAACAAUAGCCUGGUGAAAUGACCAUUGUGCAAAUGGUGCAGAUACUACUCAGGCACAUGAGUGGCCAGCAUUGGUCAACAACAGAUAUGCAAAUAGUGCAGAGUUGCGAGACAACUACAGUGAGUGCACGAGUAAUGUAUAAUUGGCCCGACAGAGAUGUCACAACAAUCUCAAGACAAAAUUGGCAGCAUGUUGCAAUGUAAGUUAGCUGUUAUUUGGGUUUAAAUGAACAUCAACAGGAAUCCCAGCUCUAUGCAUUGGAUCACCGUACAUCCUCACUUCACACCUACAUCACAAGUUUGACCUGCUUUACGGAUGUUUACCUGUACCUUGUUUUUCUUUUCUCUGCAUUGUUUCCCUGUAGAUUGGUUCCCUUUUAGAUUUCAUUAAAUUUUAUAUAAAAUUCCA